Molecule: ribosomal RNA, 476 nt
Filed under: uncultured bacterium
Lineage: Bacteria
Description: partial 16S ribosomal RNA
Rfam family: Bacterial small subunit ribosomal RNA
Source: RNAcentral
GAUGAACGCUGGCGGCGUGCUUAACACAUGCAAGUCGAGCGAGUGAGUUCUUCGGAACGAUCUAGCGGCGGACGGGUGAGUAACACGUGGGCAACCUGCCUCAUAGAGGGGAAUAGCCUCCCGAAAGGGAGAUUAAUACCGCAUAAAAUUAUCGAGUGGCAUCACAUGAUAAUCAAAGGAGUAAUCCGCUAUGAGAUGGGCCCGCGGCGCAUUAGCUAGUUGGUGAGGUAACGGCUCACCAAGGCGACGAUGCGUAGCCGACCUGAGAGGGUGAUCGGCCACAUUGGGACUGAGACACGGCCCAGACUCCUACGGGAGGCAGCAGUGGGGAAUAUUGCACAAUGGGGGAAACCCUGAUGCAGCAACGCCGCGUGAGUGAUGAAGGUCUUCGGAUUGUAAAGCUCUGUCUUUGGGGGCGAUAAUGACGGUACCCAAGGAGGAAGCCACGGCUAACUACGUGCCAGCCGCCGCAGUAA